Molecule: long non-coding RNA, 380 nt
Organism: Peromyscus californicus insignis
Lineage: Eukaryota; Metazoa; Chordata; Mammalia; Rodentia; Cricetidae
Exons: 2
Source: RefSeq, a predicted model, not a curated record
GGAGGAGGGAACCAGUCAGCAUUGCCACCACCAGGCCCCACCACUGACCCUGUGGCCCCUUGGGGUGGUCUCUCUUAACAUUCAGCGAAGUGGCCCAGGAAUGACCUAUUUGCAUUCGGCCCACCUCUGGUGCAGAUGGCGGGAUCCGAGCGUGGGUGAGUGCAGAUGGGUGGCAGGGAGAGGGGGUCUGAGAAGUAGAGUGCUGGGGGGCCAAAACGGCCGGCCGGCCGGGCCAGAGAGGUGUGGAGUCCGGGCUUGCGCGGCUGAACCAAGCGCCACACCCCCAACGCAGCCACCGGGCAGCUGGGUCUCUGUCAGGCGCUCAGCAAAUAUUGCUUAAUGAAUGAAUGAAUGAAUAAAGUCUUUGGAAGACCGCAACA